This 45-nucleotide non-coding RNA is filed under the name Trichobilharzia regenti. The record is from RNAcentral. Lineage: Eukaryota; Metazoa; Platyhelminthes; Trematoda; Strigeidida; Schistosomatidae.
AUCCAGCUGUCGAGUCCCAAAUAGGACCAAGUGCGGAUCCUGGAU